This 459-nucleotide ribosomal RNA is filed under the name uncultured bacterium. Its description in RNAcentral is "partial 16S ribosomal RNA". It matches the Rfam family "Bacterial small subunit ribosomal RNA", at positions 338 to 795 of the family's 1533-position model. The record is from RNAcentral.
CCUACGGGUGGCAGCAGUGAGGAAUAUUGGUCAAUGGACGAGAGUCUGAACCAGCCAAGUAGCGUGAAGGAUGAAGGUGCCAAGCAUUGUAAACUUCUUUUGUCAAGGGACAAAAUCAGGCUCGAGAGCCUGACCGAGGGUACUUGAAGCAAACGCAUCGGCUAACUCCGUGCCAGCAGCCGCGGUAAUACGGAGGAUGCGAGCGUUAUCCGGAUUUCUUGGGUUUAAAGGGUGCGUAGGCGGACUGUUAAGUCAGCGGUAAAAGCCCGGGGCUCAACCCCGGCGAGCCGUUGAACCUGGCUGUCUUGAGAUGUCGAGAGGUAUGCGGAAUGCGCAGUGUAGCGGUGAAAUGCUUAGAUAUUGCGCAGAACUCCGAUUGCGAAGGCAGCAUACCGGCGGCGAUCUGACGCUGAGGCACGAAAGCGUGGGUAUCGAACAGGAUUAGAUACCCUUGUAGUC